CGGAUGAAAGGGUGAAUCUAACUACCUGUCUGCGAUUUCAGCUGAGGAUUACUCUCUGCGGUGGACAGCUUGGGCUUGGCAGCCCACACUGAGGAAUUUCACAAAGAAAUGAAUUCUCAGUCCUUGGCAUGACUGGGUGCCCUGGUGGUUCUAGCAGCAGGCAGUGCUCAAGGCACAGAAUUGCCUGUGUGAGGAAUCGUACCAUCUCCAAAUAGAUGUGAUUUAAACCUGAGAGUAAGCAAAGAAGAUUAAUUACUGAUGAGAAGGGGCUGUAGGGAACAGUCAUUUGUGAAAACAAUUCCAACUUCCUUAUCAUCACUUAUACAAUCGGGGAACGUAAGACCCAUCUGAAAAGGAUAACAAAACCACCUAUUAAUUAAAGCUGAAAUUUCUCUGAGGUCAGUCGUCUCCUUCAUCUGCUUACCUUCUUGCUAAGGAUAACGUGUUUUAAGUUAAUUAUCUUUUUUUGUAAGUAAUUUAUGAUUUUAAGUGGUUUACAUUUCUAAACUUAAAUAA
Long non-coding RNA from Trichechus manatus latirostris (Florida manatee), 516 nucleotides. RefSeq lists it as uncharacterized. Lineage: Eukaryota; Metazoa; Chordata; Mammalia; Sirenia; Trichechidae. The record is from RefSeq and is a predicted model, not a curated record. The transcript is spliced from 3 exons.